UACGUAGGGUGCGAGCGUUGUCCGGAAUUAUUGGGCGUAAAGAGCUCGUAGGCGGUCUGUCGCGUCGAUCGUGAAAACUUGGGGCUUAACCCUGAGCUUGCGGUCGAUACGGGCAUGACUGGAGUUCGGCAGGGGAGACUGGAAUUCCUGGUGUAGCGGUGAAAUGCGCAGAUAUCAGGAGGAACACCGGUGGCGAAGGCGGGUCUCUGGGCCGAUACUGACGCUGAGGAGCGAAAGCGUGGGGGGAGCGAACAGG
This 256-nucleotide ribosomal RNA is filed under the name uncultured bacterium. RNAcentral describes it as "partial 16S ribosomal RNA". It matches the Rfam family "Bacterial small subunit ribosomal RNA", at positions 524 to 776 of the family's 1533-position model. The record is from RNAcentral.